AGGACGAACGCUGGCGGCGUGCUUAACACAUGCAAGUCGAGCGGAAAGGCCCUUCGGGGUACUCGAGCGGCGAACGGGUGAGUAACACGUGAGCAACCUGCCCUUAGCUUCGGGAUAGCUCCGGGAAACCGGAAUUAAUACCGAAUAUGAUUUUUGCUGACAUCAGCAGAAGUGGAAAGUUUUUCGGCUAGGGAUGGACUCGCGGCCUAUCAGCUAGUUGGUGAGGUAACGGCCCACCAAGGCGACGACGGGUAGCCGGCCUGAGAGGGCGACCGGCCACACUGGGACUGAGACACGGCCCAGACUCCUACGGGAGGCAGCAGUGGGGAAUAUUGCGCAAUGGGCGAAAGCCUGACGCAGCGACGCCGCGUGGGGGAUGAAUGCCUUCGGGUUGUAAACCCCUUUCAGCAGGGACGAAGCGAAGUGACGGUACCUGCAGAGAAGCGCCGGCUAACUACGUGCCAGCAGCCGC
RNAcentral lists this ribosomal RNA (472 nucleotides) under uncultured bacterium. RNAcentral's name for it is "SSU rRNA". It matches the Rfam family "Bacterial small subunit ribosomal RNA", at positions 26 to 518 of the family's 1533-position model. The record is from RNAcentral.